UACAUAAUUAAAAUUUAAUUCAAAAAAAAAUUCCUAAUAAUCCAAAACAAUUGCAUAACUGGCCAAAAAGAGAAAUUCCAAAUUAAGUUUGUACAUGUUACAAGCAAUCCCUAAGUUCAUAAUCCAAAAGAUCUCUGUUACAUCAGAAAUAAUUUUAUUAAAAAAUUGGAAUAAGCUGUAAACACAGCAGUUUGAAGCAAAUUUCACAGACUCUUCCAAAAGCUCUUUUGGAAGUUCCCAAUUCAAAACCAACUCUUCAGAACUUUUCCAAAACCUGUUGAAUAACAACCCCCAUUUUUCAAUCAAUCAGCAUCAACAUCACUUCACAUGCAAAACCAAUUCAAAAUUAAAAAACAGCUUAUCAAAUAAGCACUUAAAAAGCUGGAAAAUAAUUAAUAGAAAGAGAAGAUUAAUAUGUUACACAAUGAAUCAAAGAAAGCGGUCAGAAACACACUGCAUUAUCCAAAUAAACAACUUUAAAUUCAUAGAUUAAUCAUCCCACAAAAUCUGGAAAUAGGAUCCAACAAGUUAUCUCACAGAAACCAACAUUCAUGUAUAUAAACCACAAAACUAAUUAACAGUAACAGAGGUUUUUUUUGAUAAAAUCCAGAAGAAAUUUUCAAAGUAAUCUUUUCUCUGUUAACUCCAAAGAACAAAAAACACAGUAAAACAAUUCUUCAAAAAAACCUAAAUCACAACAACAACAGCAAACACAGCAAGUUACUUUCAAAAAGCUCUUAAAAAAGGUUAAUAGCAAAGCACAACAUCAAGAACAACCGAGCGAUUUUUGUUUUUUUUUUGCAAAACCAGAACACAACAACCAUAAUAUUUCUCAAAAAAACCUAAAAAACGAAAACAGAAGGAGAAAGCUUAUCUGGAGACGGGAGAGAGAAGGCAUCAGCGUCGACGACUUCAUCUUCUUCUCCUUCCAACAGAUCGUUCAAACACCUCCUCAACCGACUCCGACAACGAAUCUCUCUCGAUCUCUUCUCGUUUCUCGCUUUCCUCUUCUUUUUCUUUUUUUUUCGUUUUAAGUUAACCUAGGUGGGUCUGUUUCGGGCCUUCCAGAUUUG
RNAcentral lists this long non-coding RNA (1073 nucleotides) under Lathyrus oleraceus (garden pea). RNAcentral describes it as "Pisum sativum (pea) long non-coding RNA (PSAT_LNC024150)". The record is from RNAcentral. Lineage: Eukaryota; Viridiplantae; Streptophyta; Magnoliopsida; Fabales; Fabaceae.